UUUGAUGUAGUUAUAAUUGGUAUAAUAUCUGUUUUGGGGACAGAAGUUAUUGGUUCGAGUCCAAUCAUCGAGA
Molecule: transfer RNA, 73 nt
Filed under: Paramoeba pemaquidensis
Lineage: Eukaryota; Discosea; Flabellinia; Dactylopodida; Paramoebidae
Description: tRNA-Pro
Rfam family: tRNA
About the family: Transfer RNA (tRNA) molecules are approximately 80 nucleotides in length. Their secondary structure includes four short double-helical elements and three loops (D, anti-codon, and T loops). Further hydrogen bonds mediate the characteristic L-shaped molecular structure. tRNAs have two regions of fundamental functional importance: the anti-codon, which is responsible for specific mRNA codon recognition, and the 3' end, to which the tRNAs corresponding amino acid is attached (by aminoacyl-tRNA synthetases). tRNAs cope with the degeneracy of the genetic code in two manners: having more than one tRNA (with a specific anti-codon) for a particular amino acid; and 'wobble' base-pairing, i.e. permitting non-standard base-pairing at the 3rd anti-codon position.
Source: RNAcentral